This is a long non-coding RNA of Schistocerca cancellata (South American locust), 805 nucleotides long. RefSeq lists it as uncharacterized. The record is from RefSeq and is a predicted model, not a curated record. NCBI's taxonomy places the organism in Eukaryota, Metazoa, Arthropoda, Insecta, Orthoptera, Acrididae. The transcript is spliced from 3 exons.
GUCUGGACCCAAGGAGAUUUCAAUAAUGAAUAUUCUAACCUCCUUGUCAAGACCGGCUUCAGUUUGAACUUUCAUUUGUUCAGUGUUUAUAAACAGCUGUGUCUGAAGUUUGUCAAGUUUUCGGUGUAACUUUCGCGCACCAUUUUGCUACAACGCGUUGAAAUAACGCUUGAAGUCAUACUGCUGAAUGAAUCUGGCACAAAGGCUCAUAUACCUUCAGACGGACAGUAGACGUUCGAUUGCAUAAACUGUUUUAUGCUAUCAUUUACAGACGACGGACAUAUUUGUGCCUCUUAAAACUGAGAAAGAAUAAACAGUAAAGCAAACGAAGAUUUUAGGAAAUCAUAGUGGAUAAAUAUGAACAAGAAAGUUGCAGGUGUUUAAAUAACAUUGUGCACAUCAGAAGUGCAGACAGUACGAAGUAGAGGUUGAGGAAGAAAGUAUAGUACCUGCUGCGAGAAUCAGAUCCGUUAAAGUUGUGUGCUGCUAUUUUGAUGAAUUCCGAAGUGACUUCUUCAUGUUCGUAUCUCAACUCCAUAGGCAAAAUGCAGAAAGCAAAUGGAAGUUCCACCAUUUGGAUAUGUGGCUAGAAGAUGCAUGGAUGGAUUCCCAAUACAAUAUGUCUUCAGUUUUUAUAAAGUAAUCUAUGGUAAGCAUUUGUCAGGUCUAAAAAUACACCUGCAGUGUGCCCCUUCCGGUCCAACAGACAGUACACUUCAUGGAAGAAUUGAGUAACUGCUAAAUUUCUUCAUUUGUGACCAUAUUGUCCAUAGUUGCUUUACAAUUACUGAGUGUGUUUUAAUUC